CCCAAUUGAUUGAUGGUGCUUGCACCUGAUUGAUUUUCGUUGCCAACGAGUGGCGGACGGGUGAGUAACACGUAGGUAACCUGCCCAGAAGCGGGGGACAACAUUUGGAAACAGAUGCUAAUACCGCAUAACAGCGUUGUUCGCAUGAACAACGCUUAAAAGAUGGCUUCUCGCUAUCACUUCUGGAUGGACCUGCGGUGCAUUAGCUUGUUGGUGGGGUAACGGCCUACCAAGGCGAUGAUGCAUAGCCGAGUUGAGAGACUGAUCGGCCACAAUGGGACUGAGACACGGCCCAUACUCCUACGGGAGGCAGCAGUAGGGAAUCUUCCACAAUGGGCGCCCAGCCUGAUGGAGCAACACCGCGUGAGUGAAGAAGGGUUUCGGCUCGUAAAGCUCUGUUGUUAAAGAAGAACACGUAUGAGAGUAACUGUUCAUACGUUGACGGUAUUUAACCAGAAAGUCACGGCUAACUACGUGCCAGCAGCCGCGGUAAUACGUAGGUGGCAAGCGUUAUCCGGAUUUAUUGGGCGUAAAGAGAGUGCAGGCGGUUUUCUAAGUCUGAUGUGAAAGCCUUCGGCUUAACCGGAGAAGUGCAUCGGAAACUGGAUAACUUGAGUGCAGAAGAGGGUAGUGGAACUCCAUGUGUAGCGGUGG
RNAcentral lists this ribosomal RNA (654 nucleotides) under uncultured bacterium. RNAcentral describes it as "bacterial SSU rRNA". It matches the Rfam family "Bacterial small subunit ribosomal RNA", at positions 57 to 684 of the family's 1533-position model. The record is from RNAcentral.